CCUACGGGAGGCAGCAGUAAGGAAUAUUGGACAAUGGGCGCAAGCCUGAUCCAGCCAUGCCGCGUGAAGGAUUAAGGUCCUCUGGACUGUAAACUUCUUUUAUAGGGGACGAAAAAAGGGCAUUCUUGCUCACUUGACGGUACCCUAUGAAUAAGCACCGGCUAACUCCGUGCCAGCAGCCGCGGUAAUACGGAGGGUGCAAGCGUUAUCCGGAUUCACUGGGUUUAAAGGGUGCGUAGGCGGGCAGGUAAGUCAGUGGUGAAAUCCUAGAGCUUAACUCUAGAACUGCCAUUGAUACUAUCUGUCUUGAAUAUUGUGGAGGUAAGCGGAAUAUGUCAUGUAGCGGUGAAAUGCUUAGAUAUGACAUAGAACACCUAUUGCGAAGGCAGCUUACUACGCAUAUAUUGACGCUGAGGCACGAAAGCGUGGGGAUCAAACAGGAUUAGAUACCCUGGUAGUCCACGCCCUAAACGAUGGAUACUGACAUACGCGAUACACUGUGUGUGUCGUGAGACGAAGACGAGUUAAGUUAAGUACCGUUACCGUUACGGUAAGGUUAACGUUACCGACGAAGGAGUUAGAACGUUAAAGUUAAGUUAGUUAGACGGCGAGAGAGCGACGACGGACGACGACGGAGGAGGAG
This 643-nucleotide ribosomal RNA is filed under the name uncultured bacterium. Its description in RNAcentral is "bacterial SSU rRNA". The stretch from base 1 to 544 matches the Rfam family "Bacterial small subunit ribosomal RNA", at positions 338 to 873 of the family's 1533-position model. The record is from RNAcentral.